GAACAGUAUUGGGAUCACCAAUUUUUAAGGUGUCAGAGUACCUGGGAGCAGGAUCACCACACCCCAUUCCUUCCCAGACCUUGAUGAGAUGUUGAGGCUGUGCUAUGCAGCUGGUCAGACUGGGCAAUAUCCAUCAGAACAAAGAAACACAGAAGGAAGCCUCCACAGAUGCCAAGAAGUCAGCUCUGUGAUUACUUGCAACUAUAUACAGAAUCACAUCCCUGAUCAAAGCAGGUCAUAAUAUUCAGAGCCCUGGCAAGAUAUUCUCAGCAUUGGGGAAGUCAUAAACUACAAGGUGACCUGGCUUCCCCCGAGUAUGCUUUAUACAUCUGACUGCGCUAUCUUGGUACGUCUCCCAUGAACUACC
Athene cunicularia (burrowing owl) is the source of this 367-nucleotide long non-coding RNA. Ensembl lists it as uncharacterized. NCBI's taxonomy places the organism in Eukaryota, Metazoa, Chordata, Aves, Strigiformes, Strigidae. The record is from Ensembl.